UUGAAAAUAAAGUAGAAAAUGAUUUUAUAUGCAGUGUGUGGUUUAUAAUAUACAUUAUGACUAUGUAUUUUAAAAUGGCAUUUUAUAGAAAAUAAAUUAGAAAAAUAUUUCAUAGACAGUGAAUAAUAUGCAAUUACAAAUUUGUAUUUUAAAUUAGUAUCUAUUCUCAAAUAUAAAGUUAUUUUAUAGACAGUGUUCUUGUAUUGUUUGGGAAAAUAGAGAACUGAAAAAGUGGUGAGACUUACUGCAGUUACCUGUGACGUCAUUUCCUGUCUCUAUUUUCUUUCAGUUUGUAUUUAAAAAUUCUGAUCUAACGUCUUUAAACCUCCCUCAGACACCGUAUUAGGCGGUGUUGUUGUGAUUUUUACACGGCUCCUCUACGCGGGGUGCGUCACUGCCUUCACCGUACCGGGGCUGUGUCGUCGGGUAAAAGAGUACCGUACCACACCUGACGGACAGUGCUGCCCGAUGUGCCCAGAAGGUAAAGCUGUUUAAAGAGACACCAGAGUCGGUGCAGCCCCUGUGAAAGGGGACUUUCACCAACUAACCAGUGGCCUGAAAAAAUGCUUCCUCCGAACUUCAUGUGACUCAGAUGCUCUCAAACGAAAGUGAAGUUCAACGAAUGAAGCCUGAACAACAACACUGUCUGUGGCAGUUUCUACCUCUUUUUUUUUUAUGCUUUUCUCACUAACAUUUGCUGGGAUGCCGACAAAAGGUUAGUGCCUGUUCUGCAUCACUGACUAAUUUGCUUAAAUAAUUUAACAUUGCAUGACAGCAGCCUACUAAAGAUCAGUCUUAUGUAAAUAUCUCCCUUAUUUUGAAUAUUAGGCAAGGAGAGAAUAACAACUAAGUAAGUACAACUUGUACAUUUAUUUAAUGUAUUUACUUGGUUUUAUAGUUCAGUUACACACUUCUGCAACUAAUCUUUUGUCUCUGCAGUGUGGGUUUUCCCUUGUUACAAGAUGAAGGCUUUCCUAAUUUUUUGUCACUCUAAGACACUUUUAGCCAUGUAAUAAAGCAUUGGACAUAAGUCAGAACUUUAACAAAACGACUUUAAAAAAAUAUAUAUGUUGAGUCAGUUUUAGUAAAUAUACAUGAUUCUAUCCCGACAAACCAUGACAUUUUUAGACAAGUUUCCAGUAGUGUAAAAAUACAUUUAUGCAGUUUUGCAUUUUUUGAGUGUGUUUUGAUUUUUGAUUGCAUCUUUUGAUUACAUGAAUGCAACGUUAAUAAUGUAAAAGGUCCCAUAUUCUUCCUGAUACUGAGAUCAGGGCUUUCUGCAGAUAGUUUUUGUUUCUGGUUGCGUGUCUGGGCCUGUUGUCCUGCUGCAGGAUAAAUUUAGGCUGAUUAGACGCCGCCCUGGUGUGGCCUGAUCUAUUAAUCUGCAAACCAGGCAACUCUGAGAACCCAAGCAUGUCUCAACCGUUUUUGGAAUUUUUGGUAGGUUUGACACAAAGACUGUACAGAGGAUUGCAGCUGCAGUGAGGGAAAUAAGUAUUUGAACCCUUGCACAUUUCAGGAUUUUGGCCACAUACAAAAAAUCCUCAAAAACAACGAUCAAUCUGAUUUUAAUAGUCGGUUUAUUUUAACUGUGAGAGACAGAAUGUCCACAAAAAAUCCAGAAAAACACACCGUUAAACAGUUAUAAAUUAAUUUCCAGUUGAUCAAGGAAGAAAUGCUGUGAGAUAAACAUGACUUCGUAUUUGGUGGAGUAACCUUUGUUCACAACCACAGAUGUUUCUUGUAGUCGGUCACCAGGUUUGCACACAUCUCAGGAGGUAUUUUAAACCUCUGUUCUUUGUGAAUUCUCUCCAGACACUUAAGGUCCUGAGGUUAAUGCAUAGAAAUACAAAGCUUCAGCUCCCUCCAUCAAUUUUCGAUAGGUUAAGGUCUGGAGGCUGGCUAGACCUCUCCAUGUGACCACACCUUAAUGUGCUUCUUCUUCAACCUCUCCUUUGUUGCUGUGACGACAUGCUUUGGGUCAUUAUCUUGCUGGAAGAUCCUCCCAAGACCCAUUUUAAGUGCCCUGGUUGAGGGAAGGAGGUUCUUGCUUCAGAUUUCUCUAUUCAUGGCCCCAUUCAUUGCAGUCAUUCUGUACCCGUGGCAGAAAAACACCCCCAAAGCAUCAUGGUUCCACCUCCAUGCUUGACCGUGGGGAUGGUGUUAUUGGGAUUAUUGUAAGCAUUCUUCUCUCUCCAAACACAGCGAGUCGAAUUGAUGCCAAAGAGCAUUUCAGCUGAUAAAUACAGUAUUUAUUAUCGAGUAAUUACUGGAUAAACUAUAUCAGUCCUCCUCUCUUAAAUGAACUUUGUCCAUCCUUCCAUCCAUUUUCAUCUGCUAAUCUGUGGUCCGGUCAUAGUGCUAGCAGAUUAGCAGGUCAUUCCAGAUGUUCCUCUACUCCAACUGUUUCUGGGGUAUCCUGAGAUGUUCCCAGGCUAGAUGAUGUCCAGCGAUCAACCCAACAUUAUGACCACUGAUAGGAGACGUAAAUAACAUCAAUCAUCUUGUUCUGAUGCAACGUUCUGCUGGGAAACCUUGAGUCCUGACAUUCAUGUGGAUGUUUGACAUGUACCACCCACCGAAACAUUGCAGGUCAAGCAACCCCUCACCUCCCCGCUCCCCCAUGGCAACAGCAGUCCUUGAUGCCACUUGCCACCCUCAGCAGGUCAAUGGACCCCGACACACAGCAAAAGACUGUUCAGCAGCAGUCUGGGGAACAUGACAGAGCUAAGAUGUUCACCUGGGUUCCACACUCCUCAGAUCCAAAUCUGAGCAUCUGUGGGAUGUGCCAGAAUAAGCCUGAUCUAGGUAGGUCCCACCCUGCAACCCACAGGACCCACAGUGUUCACUGCCACCAUCCAGGUGCCACAGGACAUCUCCAGAGGUCCUGUGUCCUUGCCCCACUGGGUCUGAGGAGUUUUAGCAGCAUAAAAGGGAUCAACACAGCAUUAGGCAGGUGGUCAUAAUGUUGUGCCUGAUCGGAGUAUGUCAUACCUAGAGUGAGGUCCGGGUUCACUCCGGGUUCUACCACCAGUUGGACAUGCCAAGAAAACCUCCAAAGUAAGACACCCAGGAGGUCUGAGGCACCUCAACUGACUCCUUUUGACAUGAAGGAGCAGCUAAUCUACCCACCACUCCUCAUCCUUUCUCUAAAGCUGAGCCCAGCCACCUCAUUGGAGGAAGCUUAUUUCAGCCGAUUGCACCUGCAGCCUUUUUCUUUCUGUCACCACUCAGAGCUCAUGGCCAUAGGUGAGGGUUGGAAUGAAGAGCUUCUCUUUCUGGCUGACUCCUUCUUCACCAACAAAGUCUGAUACAACAUCUGCAUUACUGCUGACAUUGCACCAAACCUUCUUCCAUUUUACUCACUUUUUACUUUCAUUGUCACUCAUAAACAAGAUCCUGAGAUCCAUAAACUUCCUUGUUUCUGGGGCACAGAAAUAAAUAAAUAAUGUUUACUGCAUUUUCCUGUGAAUUACUGUAAAGAUGACACUCUUUUCUUGGUGUAUGUAACAUAUUGUAGUAAAACCUCACCCCAAAACCUCCUGCUAUCCCCACCCUCCUCAUCCUCACUGUCACCCAACCAGUUGAAACAGAUGGCUCCCUUCCUUGAGCCUGUUUGUGUCAGAGGUUUUAUUUCCCCUCCCAUCCCUCUGCUGCCUAAGGCAACUUCGGAUUGUUGGCUUUUCUCUGUUCUCUGUUUGUAAUUCGUAAGGUCUGUACGUCACAAUGCUAAGCACUUUGUAUUCAUAUGUUGUGAAUCUGCGCUAUAUAGAUAAAAUUUAAUUGAGUUGAAUUGAAGGAAGAGGUUCCAAGAAUAAGACCUUUUAUUACACUAAAUAUCCUUCUCUGCAGAGAGAAAAUGGAAUUUUUAUUGCGCACAUAACUUUAUAUAGUGUUGAAAAUGUGUCAUUUCUCUUUCAAAGUUCUCCCUCUCUGCAUACGUCUACAAAUUACAAUCCAUCUCUGUUCCGCCUGCCCCUGUCAAACUACCAAAACCUCAGGUCAGUCAGGCGCUGGGGAAAUUUUGGUACUUUCCAUGAGCAGGGAAAAAAACACUUGAGGAUAAAGCAUUAUGUAACGAGGUCAUGUGUGUGAUUAUGUAACACAUAUCUAUAAAGAAACACGACUACAUGGAUAACUGUAGAUGAUUAUAUGAAUAAAUUCACCAAGAACAAACAGCAACUUCUAAACUCAUGAAUAUAUGAUUACAGAUUUAUAUGUAUCUGGAAACACAAACACAUGUAAGGGACAUUUUCCACAGCAAUGUAAAUGUUAUUAUUGGAGUUUCAGUUUCCAAAUGGUGCAACAAGUGAAAGUAUCGCCAUUAGUACACAGGAGGAAGAUUUAUGUCAUUAUAACCUGUGAAGAAUCACUGUUUCCCCUCAUCAUUUAGAGAGUCACAAAGAAGUAAAUUAGAUAAAUGGAUGUAAAAUAAUCCUGUUAUUCAGCAGCACGAUUACACUUAAAUUACUGUCAUGUCUUGUUCAGUUGUGCAAAAUUACAGGUUUGUCCCACAUCUCCUUUAGUUUUACUGAUGUUUUAAAGGCUCCUAAUCUGUUUUAUUUUAAAAUGUGCUUACAUUGUCUUGCAUUGAGUGAUAAAACCAAACUUUAACCACUAAGGCUCCACAAAGAACACAGCUGUAUUGGCUCAAUGCCGAAUUUACAUGGUUUUUAAGAGAUUGGCUUUUCUUUUCACUGAUUAUUUAUUUGAUUGUUAUUGUUUGUGUUGUUUCGUCAGAGUUACUUACCAUACCGUGUAUUAUUAUGUAUCAUUAGCUACAUUAGCUGAAGCUAAAGCUGUCCAUGGCCAGUUUAGGAAUCACCAGUUACAAUGCAUUUAUGUGGAGUGUUGGAUUAAACCACAGCAUCCAGAGAAAACCGACAUGAUCUCAGGAAGAAUAUACAAACUCUAAACUGGAAGAAUUUCAGCCAACCAACAGUUUCCAACCCAGAACCGACAGUCCUAACCACUUCUCCACCGUGCCACCGCCUCCUUAGUUCUAUUAUUUAGACUGCUAGUUUUCAGUAGUUGCACCUAAUAAGUUGAUAACUGAGUGCAGAACUGUUCCAACAAUACACAAUAAAUGCUUGAAUUUUUAGAACAACAAAAUUUCCAAACCCUCAAUCUGAAGCGGUCUUUUUAUCUACAUAUUUGAACAGUUUUCAACUUUAUGAAAUCCAUUUUUUGCUGAGCAACUCAAACUCCUUCAACUUAUCCCCUCAAGAACAGGACAAAAUGAGAAUGUGAGGAUGGAAGGUGUGGAUGAUUUCAGUUUGAAGCUUUGGGUCUGUUCGAUAGUUGUUGUCAGGACUCUGUAUCAGGUGCAGGGUGGGUCAGUUAACAGUUUUUGUUUCUGUAUGACUCCAGAUAACAAACCUCUGACCUCAGGAAGCACCACUCCUCACUGAUAAUGUAAAUGAAAGCAUGUUUGGGUGUUGAAACCGAGUCACAUUUUAUUGAAAUGUUCUGGAUCUACAUCCAUUCUCAGCAAUGUAAUAGAAUGAAAGCUCAUUGUAUUGACCAUAAAUAACACUAUGAGCCAUUUUCCUGUAGUUUUAGCUUGCUUCCUUCAUAAUUAUGUGAAAUGACCACAAUCUAGACCAAUUUCUUGGAACAAUAUCAAUCAGUUUACACACAAGGUCUUUCUAUGUGACAUUUUUCAAAAUACACUAAAUCGAGAAAAGUAUUAGGACACCCCCCCCAGAUAAUUGAAUGCAGGCGGUAAUUAUAUAGUAAUAAAUCUGAGUAUUCGGAUCUCAAAAUUAAUAUUCGGAUACCAAAACAAUGACCAAAUAUUUGGAUAUUUGGGUCCAGCCCCACAGCAAACCAAGAUGUUUUGGACAAUUUCGUGCUCCCAACUUUGUCAGAACAGUUUGGGGAAGACCCCUUCCUUUUCCAGCAUGACUGUACACCAGUGCACAAAGGAAGGUCAAUAAAGACAUGAAUGAGUGAGUUUGAUGUGGAGGAACGUGACUGGCCUGCACAGAGUCCUGACCUCAACCCGAUAGACACCUUUGGGAUGAAUCAGAGCUGAGACUGAGAGCCAGGCCUUAUAUCCAACAUCAGUGCCUGACCUCGCAAAUGCGCUUCUGGAAAAAUGGUCAGAAAUUCCUGGAAACACUCCUAUGCCUUGUGGAAAGCCACCCCAUAAGAGUUGAGGCUGUUACAGCUGCAAAGGGUGGAACAACUCCAUAUUAAACUAAUGUAAUAAGCCAUAUUAAGAAUGGUAUGUGAUUAAAGUUUAUGUGCAUCUAAAGGCAGAUGUCCCAAUACUUUUUGCACUAUAGUAUACUUUCCUCUUAUAUUCAUAUUGAGGCUCAUAUUCCUUACUAGACAGCCUACCUGACCUUGCAAUACUGUAGUAAUCUCUGAGUUACAUUACUUGUGUUAUCUUUUGGAUCUUUGUAAAUUGAAUGUAGAACAUAAAAUGAAUCAGGCAGCAACAUUAUGUAUCUGGCUUCUAAAAUAGUCUUGGCCGAUAACCACCUUAACUUUGGUUCAUCUGUUGCUUUAAAUGGGUUACAUAAAUAAUGGUGACUUAAUUUCACUUUUUCUUCACUUCUGUUUUAGGAAUAAUAGCCUGAAGCUGUCAUAAUUUUCAAAUAUUUACUCAGAAUGACAAGAUAAGUUUCCCAAAAUGAGUUUUCUUUUGCAAACACAGUUGCUCCUUGUAGUCCAGGAGUUUGUGACUGCUCACUAAAUGACCUCCCCAGAUCUGAUGUUCAGUGUAAUGAGGAAUUUCUGAAGGUAUCACUGCAUCUACAUCAAUGGUAUCAUCGUGCUGCAUUUAUAGGGAAAUUGAGCAACACUUAGCAACUGAGGUAUGAACCUUAACUUUGCCUCUGAGACUGCAUUUUUUUCUGCUAAACUGAUGUGAAGAAAAGUUCUUCUGCAUUUUUUUUGUCAAUAUGUUGGGUUUAACAUCCAGCUUUUGCAGACUCACUGAAAAAUGACACUAAAUAGGCUACGAGAAGAUCCGACUCAAACAUUGCUACUCUUCACAUGAAGGCUGUAAGCUUUCAUAUUGGAACGAUUAAAAUUAAACCUACGCAGUCAGGAUCUGUUGCAGUCCACAUCUGGCAGAAGUCAGUAGAUCCUUUGGGAGUUUCUCUGACUUGGCUGAGUGUUGUGGUGAAGCUGUUCAUGAACUCCUGUGGUGGAUGUUAACACGUCUGUCCUGUGUGAUGGAAGAACCAGGUUCAAAUCCUGGCAGGAGUGUCUCGCUUUGCAACAAUCUCUCAGUCAGCUGCUGAGAACAGUAACCAGCCAGUCACCUUCACUAUUAUAGCAGCUGCACACAACAUUCAUUCUCACUGAGAUCACAUACAGUGGCUCUAACUUCUGUUUAAGUUUAAAGUUCCUUCAUGUUAUUUACAUAACCAAAGCCUAUGCAAAUGUUUGCCUUUAGUGAGUUAAAACAAGGAUGAUGCAGUAAUAUUAGCCAUUGCUAACUUUCUUUUGUAAACAGAAUGUCCCAACAAUUCUGAAAAACCUGAUCCAAUAUACUGCAGCUAAUAUACACAGGCCUUCAUGACCAAGCUCUAUUUUAUCUUAAAGACCUCAUUGUGCUAUUGUGCCAUAUUAUCCCGAUAGAGAACUUCGCUCAUAAACUGCAGGCUUAGUCGUGGUUCGCAGAGGUUCGCAGGGGCAGAUUCUUCAUUCAUAAGCUCCCAGUUUGGGUUGAAAAGGCAGAACCCUGCUCUGCUUCUAACUUUAGACUUCCUCUUUCCUGUUUGACAGAGUUUACAGUUAGAGCUACUUGGAGAAACCCUGAAACAUCUGUAGUUAUCCUGCUAUAUUUGGUCAUUGAGCUAGAAGAGUUAUAAAGAGAAAAGGCCUUGUUACAUUUUCUUGUUGCACUGGGAGAACUGUAUGGAAAUGAAGAACGUGGCAUGAUGCUUUCAAACCUGAAGAAAAAUAGUGUUACAUGGAAUUUGUAAUGAUUUGAAAUGAUAUUUUUGCACUGCUGCAUCUUCCAUUUAUUUUACAAACCACUUCAUAUUGCUGCUGUCUACAGUGUACUAAUAUUGUAUUUUUGCAUUUUCAUUUGUCAUCCACGGACAUAUUGUACAUAUUAUUAUUAUUAUUAUUAUUAUUAUUAUUAUUAUUAUUAUUAUUAUUAUUAUUAUUAUUAUUAUUAUUAUUAUUAUUUUACAUAUAUCAUAUAUCAUACAAAAGUUUGGGGUCACUUAGAAAUGUCCUUAUUUUUGAAAUAAAGAUAAUAUUAAAUUAGUCAGAAAUACAGUCUAGACAUUGUUAAUGUGGUAAAUGACUAUUUUAGCUGGAAACAGCUGAUUUUUAAUGGAAUAUCUCCAUAGAGGUACAGAGGAACAUUUCCAGCAACCAUCACUCCUGUGUUCUAAUGCUACACUGUGUUAGCUAAUGGUGUUGAAAGGCUAAUAGAUGAUUAAAAACCCUUGUGCAGUUAUGUUAGCACCUGAAUAAAAGUGUGAGUUUUCAUGGAGAACAUGAAAUUUUCUGGGUGACCCCAAACUUUUGAAGGGUAGUGUAUGUUUAUUGCUGCUGCAAAAAUGUUGUUGCUCUAACAAUGUAAAUUCCUCCUGGCGUGGGAAGCAAUAAAGGAUUGUCUUAUCUUAUCUUAUCUUAUCUUAUCUUAUCUUAUCUUAUCUUAUCUUAUCUUAUCUUAUCUUAUCUUAUCUUAUCUUAUCUUAUCUUAUCUUAUCUUAUCUUAUCUUAUCUUAUCUUAUCUUAAAAGAUGUUGCUGCACUGGUAAUGCUGUGGGUGCAUGUGACUAACUUUGUCUUAUUUCUCUACAGUAGUUUAGGGUUUGUUCUCUGCUGUUAUCUCUGAAUCUGCAGCUACACAUUUCUGAUGUGCAGUCACUGACCUCACCAACCCUCAACAGUGUUUAUUGUUAUCAGUUUAUCUCUAAUUUCUAUGUGCUUUCAUUUUUCCUUUCCUUUUUACCUUCAACCCAACCAGUUCUUUUUCUCAGCCUGGUUAGGUUGGAGGUUUCUUCCUAUUCAUGGUGAGUUUUUCUUCCCGCUGCUGACAAAGACAGUUGUUUGGAUUUGUUUGUUUUCUCCUUAUGUAUUUUUUAAAGAUCUUCACAUUAUUAUUUGUCGUGCUUUAAGAUGACAUAUGUUAUAAAUUAGCUCUAUAUCAAUAACACUGAAUUGAAUUAUACUUGUUUGCACACAUUGGUUAGGUGGAGAAGGACUUGUAUGGAUGUUUUUGACUAAUUGAAGACCCAGAUGACAGUGAAAAGACCGAAACUAACAAGAAAUGAAGCCAGCUACAGAAAGAUUCCAAAUGUCUGCUUAUAUUUAUGGAAUGUAAGUUGCAAGUGUUCAUUGAAUGCAAAAGAUCUGACAACCAAUCAGAGAGCGAGGACUCUAUUCUCUGAAUCAAACAGAACUAGAUACAUCACAGAAGAAGGACAUCAGUCUUCUUCAGUAUAAAUGUAUUUCAAGUCAGUCACAUUUGUUUAUAAAGCACAUUUAAAAGCAACAGGAGUUAGAAAGGUAAAAAAAAAAGAAGAAAACACAAUGACUAAAAGACAACUAAAAAAAAAAUAUGUCAUUAAAUAAAUGACAUAUCUAUCUGGCAAAGCCUAUUGAGCUUUUCAACCCUGUUUUUUCACAAGUUAUUGUUCCAAAUACUGGUAAUAUAUAAUAAUUAGCUUUAGUUAUUGAUGUGAUUAUUAGUGACAGUCCAUGGUGCCUUUGAAUGAUGCAUGUUAUGAACUAGCUUAAUGGCGUAAAAGAAAUCCAAGGAAGCCAAACCAGAUGCUUUUUGGUAAAAUAGAGAUAGUUGAGAAAAACCAAAGCCAGUUGAGGCAAACUGCAAGAGAAAAAAAACGCAUAUAUGUGCUUUUUAAAUCAGAGAUAAAUACAACCAGAAGAAGAACCUUUUUGUUAUGACUAACCUUUCUUAGAAGACACCAAAAAUAAAAGUGAAACCUCACUACCUUACCUCACUGAAAGAAAACAGAGUCAGAACAGGUCUUAGUAGCACUAAAAUUAGAAAUGCUCAGUGUGUGUUCACUCAGUCUCCAGGUAACCGGUAAGUACCUUAGUGCCAGCGAAGCUCUUUUCAAAUAGAAUCAUGAUGGGAUGUUUGCCAUCCAUCUGUCCAUCUGUUUUUAACAGCCUCACCUGUUGUCAAGCUGGAAACCUCUCAGGAGACCAAACAUAAUAACCGAAACCCAACAUGGACGGUUAAACACAGGAACUGCAGCUGUAGCAAGUAAAAUCAUACAGAUAAACACUGAUUAAUAAACCAGUAAAGAGCCUGUUGAUCCUGAACUCACCACAAUGAUGCACCAACAGGAGCGGGAGGUUUCCUCAAAUACUGCAUCUGGCAACUUCGCCGCUCGAAUUCUUUCCACAACUUGUUUUAGAUCGACAAAACCACCAAAAAACAAGGACAGACAACUUCCUGUAUGCCACUUGUUGCCUACUGUUCCUUCGCUCUACGCUCCGACUUCUUCCAGACCACCUUGGUUGGACUCAGGGCUUUGUGGCAGGCAGGUCAUCUGAUGCAUCAUUCUGAUUCUGGGUUAAAAUUUGAUGUGGCUGCAGAAUGUUAUCAGCAUGCAGAUCAAGUCAGUAUCAAAGUAUUUUUUGAAAUUUUUUCACUUCCCUGUCUUUUACGUUCCAAAUCUGUGUGCAAAACUCUGAGAUUGGUUCAUGUAUAAUAAAUCUAAAAGGAAAGAUUUAAGAAGAAACAUAAUUAAAGCUGACAUAUGAAGGCUGACAAAGUUGUAUGUAACCUCUGAAUUAAAGUGCUUAUUGUAAUUUUGUUUUCUUUAAUUGAAGUUUUUAGUUGCUUGAAGUAUAUAAUAGAAUCAAUUCUAUAAUGCAAGAGGAUACAAGAGGAUUAUUCUUACUGUAAGAAAUGAAAUACCUCUAAAGUACAUCUUAAAUAUCAUAUUAGAAUUACUGUCACUGUCUACAAAAGAUGGUAAAAUGUAGCAAAGGAGAAUAUUUUGGUAUGAAAACAAACACUUUUUAAACAAAAGAGCUAAAAAAUGUUUGAAAAAUACAAGCAAAAGUGCACAGACUUCCUGACUGAGAGGAGGAGCUGCACUUCCUGUUUAGUAUGGCAACUUUAUUUUAAAACUGUAAAAGACUGACCUCUAGUGGCUGAACUCAGUGUUGCAUCCAGUCACAAAAAUACUCAGUUAUUAGAUGGAUGGAUGGAUGGACGGACGGACGGACGGACGGACGGACGGACGGACGGACGGACGGACGGACAGACAGACAGACAGACAGACAGACAGACAGACAGACAGACAGAUAGAUAGAUAGAUAGAUAGAUACUUUAUUAAGCCCGAGGGAAAUUCAAGUAUUUAGCAACUUACAUACAACAAAAAGGCAACACAGGCAAGUUAGUACUCAGAUAAACAUUAACAUUAAAUGCUAGUAUACACUUUUAAAAAAUUAGCUGUACAAUACUAUAAACAAAACACUUCUAAUUCUACAGAAAUAUUAAAUAUAUUAAAAGUCAAUAUACAGUAUUUACACAUUUCAAGGCCCAGUGACUUAAAAUGAUUUAAUUUAAUAAAAGUAAUUAUAUUUCAGUUUAUGAAUCCACUUGGUGGCAAAAUGAUCAGAGGAUAGAACAUUUGUUUUAUAGAGAUUAUACUGGCAGUAUAGUUUUUAUCAAAGAAGAAGAAAAAGAAAGUAAAAAGGUGAGUGAAAAGAUGUAAAGCCUGACAUUGUUUGUUUGAAUUCUGAGUGCAUACAUUUAUUUGCUGUACUACUCUCAAAAAGUCCUCCAAACUAGACAAAUGACAAAUAAAAAAAACAUUAAAUAUGUACUCGAAUUAUAGAAGAUAUCUGCAAUGAUCAAAUAAUAAAUAUAUGAUUCAAAUAUGAUUCAAAUAGACAGUCCCUCCAGGAAUCCGCGAUGUUGCGAUGGCACCAAUUCACGCGAAUUCAACCAAUCUCCGCGAAUUCUGCACGACCUUGCAAUUCUGUCCAAUCACCGCAACUUUUUAACAAUUUUGGCCAGCCUCCCAUGAGUUCCACCAAUCAUAGCGUUCCCCAGCUCAAACGUAAUGCACGUACAUCACCGAAUUCACUUCCUUGUUUAUGGUUUGAACAUCCAGACGUGCGAUUCUCUCUCAUUUACCAACAAAAAUUACUGCCAAAGACUGCAAAAUAAUUCCGUGAUGUUCUUCACGAAAGCAGAGUUUAGGCUGUUAGAUUGUUCCAGACAAGUACAAGAUUGUUCAGAGCCGUUCUACCAUGAGCCUGACAGGAAGAACUCCAACAGCUACUGAAUGUUCCUGUGGUUCCCUCAAGGCUACAGGAGGAGCCCUACGAGGACGAGCCGGUCCACCUGAUGGUGGCCAGUCACUGCGGUUCAAAGCCAACAGCGACUACGUGGACUUCUACUGGACCACACGGAGGCCUUCAAACCGGACCAACAAGUUCAGCGACUCCCCGACUCGUGGGUCUGAGGACGCCGCCGAGCCUCGGCCCAGCCGGCCUCCUGUCUGUGGGUGUUUGAGUGCUGAGAGGUUUGUGGAUGCAUGUGAACGUUCUGUGUUGAAACAGCAGCUUUGGACUCAGUAACGCCGGGAAAAACCAAGAGCUCCUUUAUUUGUGACUUCCACUAAAAAAACUGAUGAAAACAAGUUUGCCAGGGUUCUGACUGAUAACAGAUUAUUAAAUAAUGAAAAUAAUCAUUUAAAUAUUCCUUUAAACAAUCCUUUUAGGUCUACAUUUCCUUUACACUGACUUCUUGGUAUAUGUACAAGUAUUUUGGGUGGAAUAUACCAUUAAGCCCAAUGUUCAAGGGUUCUUCUGGGAAUACACCAUUAAACCAACCUUUUAGGUAAAUGUUACAGGAUGUUUGGUACAAUAUACCAUCAGAUCAACCUUUUAGGUCUACAUUGGAAGAUUUUAGAGUAGAAUAUUACUCCAAACCAUCCUUUAGGUCUACAUUUAAGGUGGAAUACUCCUUUACACCAAGAUUUUUUGGUCUACAUUGAAGGAUUUUAUGUGGAAUAUUCCUUUGAACGAACUUUUAAAGGUUAAGUUCAAGGAUGUUGGGUGGAAUAUACCAUCAGACCAACCUCCAGGGUCUACAGUAGUGAAUUUUAGGUGGAAUAUACCAUUAAACUCACCUUUUAGGUCUACAUUGGAGGAUUUUAGGUGGAAUUUUCUUCCAAAUCGUCUUUUAGUCUACAUUUAAGGAUGUUUAGGAUGGUAUAUUCUUCCAAACCAACUUCUCAGGGCUACAUUUCAGGUGGAAUAUUCCUCCAUACUAACUUUUUUGGUCUACAUUGAAGGAUUUUUUCUAAACCACCCUUUCGGGUCUAUAUUUGGGGUUUUAGGUGAAAUAUUCCUUUUAACCAGCCCCUCAGGUCUCUUUGAAGAUUUUGGAUGGAAUACUCGGUUAAACCAACAUUUUAGGUGCAUGUCCAAGGAUUUUUGGUGGAAUGUUCCUUUAAGGUGGAUGUGUGAGGACCUUGUAGGUGGAAUACUUCCUGAAACCAACCUUUUAGGUCAACAUUCAAAGAUUUAAGGUGGAAUAUUCCUUUAAACCAACCUAAAUUUCAUGUUUUGAUCAUUAUCAAGUGAGAAACCUCAAUCCAGACUCCUCAUAAUGAUGUUUGAGAUUUAUGCUGCUGUUAUUUGUUUAGUCCAGACUAAAUAACAGAAAUCCACAACUGUAAUUUUAUUUCAGGACUUGGUUAUUAAAUGUCAAUACAAUCCAUGUGACUCUAAAAACUCAACAGCUUUACAAACUCUAAGAUUAAACUCUCCACAAGGAUCCAAAAUAAGUUGGACUUCUACAUGAGAGCUUUAAUUAUUCUUCAUCUACUUUCUGAAAAGUUUGGUCAAUAAAAAAGACAAAAACUAAUAUUUUCAGCUGAAUUAAAGACAGACUUUGUGAUUUUUCUGCUCACAUGUUGUGUUGUUGUAAACUUACUCUUUCAAAUAAAUAUCCUCCUAACCCCCUGGAAA
Molecule: long non-coding RNA, 13946 nt
Organism: Amphiprion ocellaris (clown anemonefish)
Lineage: Eukaryota; Metazoa; Chordata; Actinopteri; Pomacentridae
Exons: 5
Source: RefSeq, a predicted model, not a curated record